This 74-nucleotide transfer RNA is filed under the name Bacteroidota bacterium. RNAcentral describes it as "Bacteroidetes bacterium (hydrothermal vent metagenome) tRNA-Gln". It matches the Rfam family "tRNA". Rfam says of the family: Transfer RNA (tRNA) molecules are approximately 80 nucleotides in length. Their secondary structure includes four short double-helical elements and three loops (D, anti-codon, and T loops). The record is from RNAcentral. Lineage: Bacteria; Pseudomonadati; Bacteroidota.
UGGGGAGUCGUCUAACGGCAGGACAGUGGACUCUGGAUCCACGAGUCGGGGUUCGAAUCCCUGCUCCCCAGCAA